CUGAUAUAAUGCUUCCCAAUAUCAGUGUGACAACUACAGCCAGAGCCUUCCCUAAGGUUCUCUUAAUGAAAAGGCUACUACCAUCAUGACAGAAUGCAACAAAUGGCAACAUCCAGGGAUUUCUACAAGAGAUGCCCAACUACAACUAAUCAAACUGUGAAUGAGGCCCUGCUGUCCACAGAAAAUAAUGAUGCAAAUGCACUUUCCAGUUGUCUACAAUACUUAAAACAGAUAUUCAGCAUAUCUCUACUUAUUAGUAAACUGAACUACAUUCCUUAGUACGUAAAUGAUAUUAAAAUUAAUAUGCAUAUGCAGUGUGUACUCGGAACUCCUUUUAACCACUAAUAAAUACAUCAGAUGAUGAGAUGUUUACUUAAAAACAAAGAACCAACGUCUCAUACAAUUUUAAUUUUUUAAUAUCCACAUGGAAGUUUAU
This is a long non-coding RNA of Trachemys scripta elegans, 436 nucleotides long. RefSeq lists it as uncharacterized. The record is from RefSeq and is a predicted model, not a curated record. The transcript has 3 exons. Lineage: Eukaryota; Metazoa; Chordata; Testudines; Emydidae.